GGGGAAUUUUGGACAAUGGGCGCAAGCCUGAUCCAGCCAUGCCGCGUGUCUGAAGAAGGCCUUCGGGUUGUAAAGGACUUUUGUCAGGGAAGAAAAGGCUGUUGCUAAUAUCAGCGGCUGAUGACGGCACCUGAAGAAUAAGCACCGGCUAACUACGUGCCAGCAGCCGCGGUAAUACGUAGGGUGCGAGCGUUAAUCGGAAUUACUGGGCGUAAAGCGAGCGCAGACGGUUACUUAAGCAGGAUGUGAAAUCCCCGGGCUCAACCUGGGAACUGCGUUCUGAACUGGGUGACUAGAGUGUGUCAGAGGGAGGUAGAAUUCCACGUGUAGCAGUGAAAUGCGUAGAGAUGUGGAGGAAUACCGAUGGCGAAGGCAGCCUCCUGGGAUAACACUGACGUUCAUGCUCGAAAGCGUGGGUAGCAAACAGGAUUAGAUACCCUGGUAGUCCACGCCCUAAACGAUGUCAAUUAGCUGUUGGGCAACUUGAUUGUUCAGUAGCGUAGCUAACGCGUGAAAUUGACCGCCUGGGGAGUACGGUCGCAAGAUUA
This 548-nucleotide ribosomal RNA is filed under the name uncultured bacterium. Its description in RNAcentral is "bacterial SSU rRNA". It matches the Rfam family "Bacterial small subunit ribosomal RNA", at positions 356 to 896 of the family's 1533-position model. The record is from RNAcentral.